RNAcentral lists this ribosomal RNA (820 nucleotides) under Triticum aestivum (bread wheat). RNAcentral describes it as "partial small subunit ribosomal RNA". The record is from RNAcentral. Lineage: Eukaryota; Viridiplantae; Streptophyta; Magnoliopsida; Poales; Poaceae.
GAGCAACUUGGGUCGAGCAAAGAGAGGAGCAGAAGAGAUGAUAGGGUUCUUGUCUUGGUCGGUGGGUGGAGAGAGAGAGAGGGGUUCUUGUCUCGUACCAGCGGCGGCGGAACUAGACGGGGUAGGCCCGUAGAGGGCGCUGUGCCAGGCCACCCGAACGGUGGCCGACGUCGCCGUUGCUACAGAGGUACGCAUGUAGGAGGGGAUCGCGUCGGUGUGCGUGCUCCGAACGCCGGUGCCCGCAGCCCGCACACGCCGAAGUGGCUGCGACGAGCCAGCGUACCGAAACGACGAUUGCCACACCUGAUCGGUGUAGGAUGACGAUGAUGACGUUCCAUUUAUCUAGUUCCACUUAUCUACGAGUACCUGACUAAGUUUGGUUCCACUUCUAUCUAUUCUUCAGUUCGUUUUUCCCAUUGUGUUGUUCCAUGAAGUAAUCAUGGACCACUGCGUACGUUGGGUUUCCCGAAGUAACGUCACUUCCUGUUGUCACACCGUCUUCCACUUUUCCGUUCACCACCCCCAUGAGGUCACAUACACAAACACACACUCCACCUUACCUGGUAUCACUUUCCUUGCCGAGGAUAAAUAUCACCCCAAUCAUCGAUACAGCCAAACCUCUCCGUAAUGUAGACCGUACGUACUCACCAAUCCGAUCGUACGUACGGAGGUGAACACAGAGAACAUCCGACAUAAUCCCUGUUCACAUUAAACGAACCGAUCGGUAAUCAACUGUAAAUGAAAUACACUUUUUUACUCUGGUUCUAAACUAAUAUUUAAACAUCUUGUAUACUUCCAAACUUUUUAUAAAACAACACGU